AUCGGUCUGCGCGGGCGCAGUGGCGGCAGCCGCUGCACCCGCGUGGCUAGAAGCCCACGGUCUGCAGGCGAGUUGAGGUUUCAGGUCAUUCCAGCUUCGGCCGUGGGGCCCCGCUCAGACGCGCGCCUGUCUCCUGGUGAAAUCCUGGAGGCUGUCCUUUCCACCGUCCUGUCUGCACGAGGAGGACACAGGGGUCAGCUUCCUGGGAGAAGGGAGUCGUCCGGAUGGCUGGUCCCCGGAGGGAUGACUUACUGCAUGAACAUCGAAAUCAGAUGAACCCUGACGGCGACAGCGAUGGUGCACGGGCCCCUCACCCCGAUACCCAGGACCCAGAGAGGAUCGGCUGGAAGUGAUGGACACGAAACCACCGCCCCCCGCCCCGGAUAAAGUGGCAGGAGCAGCGACACCCGAGCCUCUUCCUCUGCUGCCAGACGCCUGCUCCAAGGAAGUUUCCUAAAACCAGAUAUCGCCACCUCCUCCUUCCUCCUGCUCCACCUGAGCCUCUGCUUCCUCUGCGGAGAACCUUGUGCCCAGGAAUCCACCUAAAUCCAGGGAUCUCUACAAGCUCCCUCUUCCCUCUGCACCCGAGCCGCUUCAGCCUCAGCAGGACACGCAUUCGAAGGAACCUGUCUACAUCCAUGAAAGCUUUUUCUUCCCUCCCACCUGAGCCUCUUUCUGUGCUGCCAGAACCUGUUGCAAGGAAGAUACUUCAAACAGAGGUCUCCGCAGCCUCUGUCUUCCCUCUGUAGCUGAGCUGCUUCUGCCUCUGCAGGACUCCACUUGAAGGAAGCUGUCUAAAUCCAUGUAAGAGAUCUCCUCGUAUUUUUUUCCCUCCCCCCUGAGGCUCUUCCUCCUCACCAGACACCUGUUCCAAGGAAGCUCCUGCAACAAGGGUGUGGGCUUGUGUCGUGAAGGUUGAGUAUCCAGAGUGACAGUGAAGAAUCCAUACUCCCACCCAAGAGUGGAUUUCAGUGUGCCUGAGAGGAAGAAGAGGAAGACAUCCUGCUGGCAUGUGCCCCAGGUAAGAUGUGCCCUCAGGGGUGCUCGAAAGGCAGGAGAGGCACAGACGGAGGAAGAUCUAAGGAACAAUGCAGCGCACCCCCAAGAGAGAGGGCUCCUGCAUAAGGACAGCCCGCCCACCACAAGACGUCAGCUUUUACACACACUCUUCAUUGACGACCAGCAGCCCAGCUCUCCAGAGGCCAAGCCCUGGACCCUGGAAAACUGCAGGCCCCAAACCCCAGCCAGCCACCUGCGUGCUAACACUCCUACUUCUGGAGAACCCCAAGGCCCUGUGGACCCCAGUGGCACAUACAACGAUGUGGGCUUUGGGUUGGCUGAGUCGACUGAACCUGACCAUGACAUUUGGAGGGCAGAACAUGUUCCCUUUUACCGGGUGUGCCAGUUCAGACGGGAGUCACCUGAGGCCUGUACGCAACCUCUUUUCGAAGGACAUCUCCUGGGGGAUCCUCCCAUCCCCGUCUUGAAACCUUUUUCUUUUUUUUGUCUUUUUACCUUUUCUAGGGCCACUUCCCAUGGCAUAUGGAGGUUCCCAGGCUAGGGAUCUAAUUGGAGUUGUAGCCACCAGCCUACACCAGAGCCACAGCCACAGCAACGCUGGAUCGGAGCUGCAUCUGUGACCUACACCACAGCCAGAUCCUUAACCCACUGAGCAAGGCCAGGGAUCGAACCCGCAACCUCAUGGUUCCUAGUCGGAUUCAAUAACCACUGCGCCACAACAGGAACCCUGAAACCCAUCUUUUAACCUGGAGGUGAUACUACCAAGCCUCGGCUGGGCUUGAAACGUGUUUUGGCGCCCUCUGGUGGCCAUUCUCUCUAAUGACAACUCACAGCCCUGCCUCCAGCUUCCUGAACAGGAAAGAAUGCCCUUGGCUUGUGCUCCAAAUAGUUGAUUUACUCCCUCCUCUCACUCUAAGAACAAUCCUGCUCUUUCUAGGGACAUUAUCAUUCUCUCAAAGUCAGCUAUGGCACUCACUCCUCCCAAUCCUUCCCCACUCUCUAAAUCCUUGAGUCGAACCCAUCCAAAUCUGGUGACAGGAUUUCAAUGAAUCCUGUUCCCCAUUCUUCAUUUCUGGGUUUUGGCCAGAGGUUUGUUUUUCCUCUCCGGGGGGGGGGGGAAAUUAGAGGAGGGGAGAGGCUCUGAACAAAGGAAAAGAAACUUUUCAGAGAAUCCUCAAGAGACCCAUCUCUGGGAUGAAUGCAGCCAGUGGGCUGAUCAAGGAAGCACGGGUUUAGUGCAUUCAAUUCACAAGCACCCACCCACCUGUCCUGAGGGCAAACCCUGCAGAAGCCUGAUUGGGAGCACUGAAAGCAUAGUCCUCAGUCUCAUGCUUUUUGGCUGAGAUGUCAGCCUCUGCGGAAGCCGAAGGCCAUCAGAACUCUAGACGGCCUGUCCAAUCAUCUGGAAUUUAGGCUUCACUAGCUAUCUGAAAGUGACCCACAGAUGAUAAGAGCAGGACAAGUCCUUCCUAUCAGGUGAGUUAAUUUAGACCUGUAACCUAGCCCUCCUGCCAAGGCAUGUCCCGUGGGGAUCCACUUCACCCAAUUCCAGCCUCACCUCUGGGCUGGGAUUUGCCAAUGCCAAGCAGCUGCUGGGCCCUGUCAGUGCUCUGUCGCCCUCUGGUGGCCAACCCCUCAAAUAACAACUCAGAGCCCUUCCUCCUGCCUCCUGACCAAAGCCGUGGAUGCACUGCACUCUCCUCCUUCAGCUGAAGGCCGAACUCCCUCCUACUCUCAUCCUAAGUUCCACCUUGUGCCUUACAGAGGCCAGAAGUCUCUCUCAAAGUCUCCUGGGACUCUCCAUCAUCCGGCCUAUCCAACCCACUACCCUACAUUAUUGGCCGAUCCCACUUCAAGUCAGCUCAACAGCUGGAAAUCCAUAAGCCUGCAUUAAUACAUGUGACCUAGUACACACUCUGGUUAGUUCCUCAGGAAUAAGUUGCAGGAAGCAGUGGGGCAGGUAGACAAAGAAAAAAAAGAAACUCUAGGGAAUAAUUUGAGACUUAAAUCCCAGGAAGGAGCACAUCCCGGCCAGCCCAAGAUGCCACUUCUACACACUCCAUUCAGGUCCUCAAGCGCUGCUUUCCAGAUGCCACCUCUGACCAAGCCCCAUUUUGGUAAAGGGACAUAUGCGAGGCUCAAACCAAGUACCUGUGAAUUCUGGGUUUUCAUGCUGCAGAACCCAGAGGCUGUAAGACGCCCCCCCCCCAUAGCCUGUCAAAUCAUCAGUACUUAGGGCUCCGUGAUCCCUAUGGAAAUGAUCCCUAGUCGUGAAGCAGGAACUACGCACCCACUCCCAGGACAUGUGUUUGGGACUCGAGAGUCAGAAACAACAUGUAACUCAACUGACCUCACUGGGCACGUCCUCUGGGUGCCACCAGCACCCACUCCAACCACAUUUCCUAUGCUCGAGAUGCCAACACGUAACAGCAUCUCAGUAUGUUUGGGCUCCUCUUCCUCUAGUGGCCAUUACUACUCUUGUCCCACACUCUGCCUCCUGACCACACCUGGUUCUGUUGGCACAGUUUUUGUGUACCUAUAAGCCAGCGUUGGUCCUCCUGUCUGGUUCACUCUCUCAGAAUCAUCUAAGGCCUUAUGGAGGUGGUAAUUCUGAGUCCUCCAUAUGCCUCCCGGCUCCCUGUGUGUCAUCACACCUAUGAGUCCAUCAAGGAAACACACUUGGAGUCAGGUAACUGCCUUUACAUUAUUCCCCACAACACCUCACAUCUCCAGCCUUUGUUUUGUGUCACCUGGCUUUGGGUAAGAUGGAGAAAAAGUAAGGCGCAUUGCAGAACACCCUUGGGAGAGGGCUCCUGCAUAAAGACAGCCUGCCCGCCACAAGACAUCGGCUGUACACUCGCUCUUCAGUGAUGACCAGCAGCCCAGCUCUCCAGACCCCUGGACUCUGGGAAUCUGCAUGUCCAGUAAUCCAGCCACAUGCCUGCCUGCUCAGAGUUCUACUUCUGAGGAACCCCAAGGCCAUAGGAGCCCUGAUGGCCUGUCCUCCAACGUGGGCUUUGGGCUGGCUGGGUCGACUGAAGGUGACCCUGAUAUUUGGAAGGCAGAACACUUUCCCUUUUACGGGAUAUUCUAAUUCAGACUCGAGGGUCAGCUGUGGCCUGUAUGUGACCACCUUUUAAUGGACACUUCCUGGGGGAUCAUCUGGCUACAGAGCUGUCUGAAAGGUGGAAAGGGCAGCACAAGUCCUUCCUAUCAGGUGAAUCAAUUGAGACUUGAGAGUCAGCAGCAAACUGUAACCUAGCCCUCCUUGCAAUACAUGCCUCAGGGGGAUCCACCUCUGCCAACUCAAACCCCACCUCUGGGCUGGGAUUCGCCAAUGCCAAGCAGCUGCUGGGCUCUGCCAGUGCUCCUUUGCCCUGUGGUGAUGAAUCAUCAAAUAAGAAUUCAGAGCCCUUCAUCCUGUAUCCUGACCAAAGCCACACUAGCACCACGCUCGCCUUAUUCACCUGAAGGCGCAUCUCCCUCCUACCCUCCUUCUAAGUACAACUGUGUGCUUUACAGGGGCCAGAGGUCUCUCUCAAAGUCUCCUGCGACUCUCCCUCCUCCUCCCUGCCCAUCACCACUACCCCAUGUCAUCCAGCUGAUCCCACUUCAGUUCAGCUCACCACCUGUAAAUACAUCUGGCUGCCUGAAUACAUGCAACCUAUUCCU
Molecule: long non-coding RNA, 4692 nt
Filed under: Sus scrofa (pig)
Lineage: Eukaryota; Metazoa; Chordata; Mammalia; Artiodactyla; Suidae
Description: lncRNA (ENSSSCG00035044735.1)
Source: RNAcentral